GGAAAAUUCCAGGGGAAUUGCCACGAGAGGAAAUACUUCAGAGGGGCUUCCCUCCAGCUAAGCCCUGAAUGUGCCAGGAGGUUUCAGCCGGGAGGAAAGGAGCUGUGGAAGAAAAGCAGCCUAAAAAUAGCCAGCGGGGAUCAUCAGGUUUUCCAGCCAAGAAGAACAAGGAGAGAGAUGAGGGAAUCGGGUUCCAAUUCCUAAUGAUUUGGUGGGUGCAGGAAUGAUUUGUGUGUGUUUUCCAGUCCCUUUUGAUUCCUGAGAUGAUUUUAAAAUGAUGGCUUUAGCAAUCAACUAAAUCGGAGAUGUUGUUUUUGAGAGGAAAUGAUGCCAAAUAAAUGCAGAGUUUUGGGUCAGUUUUUGGGAUGAUUUGAGUCAGUUUUUGGGGUCAGUUUGGGUCAUUGUUUGGGGUGAUUUGGGUCAGUUUUGGGUCAGCUUUUGGGGUGAUUGGGGUCAGUUUUGGGUCAGCUUUUGGGAUGAUUUGGGUCAGGUUUUGGGGUCACUUUUGGGAUGAUUU
This is a long non-coding RNA of Pseudopipra pipra, 517 nucleotides long. RefSeq lists it as uncharacterized. Lineage: Eukaryota; Metazoa; Chordata; Aves; Passeriformes; Pipridae. The transcript has 3 exons. The record is from RefSeq and is a predicted model, not a curated record.